RNAcentral lists this long non-coding RNA (1208 nucleotides) under Volvox carteri. Its description in RNAcentral is "long non-coding RNA (VCAR_LNC004206)". Lineage: Eukaryota; Viridiplantae; Chlorophyta; Chlorophyceae; Chlamydomonadales; Volvocaceae. The record is from RNAcentral.
AGCGAUCCACUGAGAAGUUGACUAGGGUGACUGGAUGAGGGUGCCCCGAAACACGGGAAAGGCAGGGUUUCGCCGGGUAGCGGCCACGGGUGAAGAUAUGCCCCUCUGUCCCACAUCAUACAUACACAUACAUACAUACACACAUACAUACACACAUACAUACACACAUACAUACACACAUACAUACACACAUACACGGUCUCUGCGCGAGCCGCCCAACAGCAAGCAUAUAGGUUCUCAACCUGCCUACACACCUAUCUACACCUACCCGCAUUGACGACCGAAAACACAGCACGCCAUCACAACCCCCCGUUCAGGCGUCACCACACGCCCCAUCCAAAUACUGUCCGAGUCAAGCCUCCCCGCCACCACCUCCCCAGAGGUAUACCAAGGUAUAGAUGCCUUGUCGCACCUGCAGCCCGUCCACAAUGUGAGUUUCAGUUGCAUAUAUGCGACAGACAUGGGAACCGGGGCCCCUGCAACUGCCGCCCCAAACCUGCAACCACCAACUGCCGCCCCAAACCUGCAACCACCAACUGUUACCACCAUCCUGGGGCCGAAGUGUCGAAUUCACCAGGGCAAAAACGCCCCACAGGACUAGAAAGUCUAUCAUUUUUAAACAUCAAAUGUUCUUAAUUCUUAAACAGGAAGAAAGGGAUGUAAGUUAUAUACCUGGUUUAACAUAAGGGAGAUAUAGAUAUGUAUAUUUCAAAUUUAGUAUCUCGUCCGCGCUCUUGGAAAAUAGCUUAUGCCCAUUACGCUUUCACGCUCUCGCUCUCUCCUGCGGACACACAGCUAACAGCUGUAUGUAUGUAUGUGCGGUUCACCCCCCCUCCCCCGCACCUCCAGACCGUCCCGACCGUCCGGGCAGUUGUGGGGCAUCAACAGGCAUCACGUUGUGAACUGCCACUGCAGCGCACACCACCACCGCGGCCACACCACCGCCAGUUACCAAUAGGUAGGCGGGUGGGUAGGUAGGCAGGUAGGCAAUUACGCCGACAACCCAUCAAAAGCUCGGGAGCGACUGCGAUGUGCAAUGAGCGGUGCAAUGGCGUGUGCUAAAACACACACCCACACACCCCCUUCCCUACUCAACCAACCAUCCAACCGUAAACCGCUCAACCACCAACCGUCACCAACUCGGCCUGUGCAUCCAUUCCAACCUUAGAACAGGAAACCGACUUUAAGCACCCCUAAGCGCCCCUAGC